Molecule: ribosomal RNA, 253 nt
Filed under: uncultured bacterium
Lineage: Bacteria
Description: partial 16S ribosomal RNA
Rfam family: Bacterial small subunit ribosomal RNA
Source: RNAcentral
UACGGGGGGGGCAAGCGUUGUUCGGAAUUACUGGGCGUAAAGGGCGCGUAGGCGGCCUGCUAAGUCGAACGUGAAAUCCCCGGGCUCAACCCGGGAACUGCGUCCGAUACUGGAAGGCUUGAAUCCGGGAGAGGGAUGCGGAAUUCCAGGUGUAGCGGUGAAAUGCGUAGAUAUCUGGAGGAACACCGGUGGCGAAGGCGGCAUCCUGGACCGGCAUUGACGCUGAGGCGCGAAAGCCAGGGGAGCAAACGGG